CCUCGGGAGGCAGCAGUGAGGAAUAUUGGUCAAUGGCCGAGAGGCUGAACCAGCCAAGUCGCGUGAGGGAAGACGGCCCUACGGGUUGUAAACCUCUUUUGUCGGGGAGCAAUAAGGGCCACGCGUGGCCCGAUGAGAGUACCGCACGAAUAAGCAUCGGCUAACUCCGUGCCAGCAGCCGCGGUAAUACGGGGGAUGCGAGCGUUAUCCGGAUUUAUUGGGUUUAAAGGGUGCGUAGGCGGCGCUUCAGGUCAGCGGUGAAAUACCGGGGCUCAACCCCGGGGCUGCCGUUGAAACCGGAGCGCUAGAAUUCCGAUGCCGUCGGAGGAAUGUGUGGUGUAGCGGUGAAAUGCAUAGAUAUCACACAGAACACCGAUUGCGAAGGCAUCUGACGAAUCGGAGAUUGACGCUGAUGCACGAAAGCGUGGGUAUCGAACAGGAUUAGAUACCCGAGUAGUC
This 459-nucleotide ribosomal RNA is filed under the name uncultured bacterium. RNAcentral describes it as "partial 16S ribosomal RNA". It matches the Rfam family "Bacterial small subunit ribosomal RNA", at positions 339 to 795 of the family's 1533-position model. The record is from RNAcentral.